ACGCCAGAUAGGUGUAGAGAGGCC
RNAcentral lists this non-coding RNA (24 nucleotides) under Arabidopsis thaliana (thale cress). Lineage: Eukaryota; Viridiplantae; Streptophyta; Magnoliopsida; Brassicales; Brassicaceae. The record is from RNAcentral.